This 103-nucleotide microRNA precursor is filed under the name Marmota monax (woodchuck). The record is from RNAcentral. Lineage: Eukaryota; Metazoa; Chordata; Mammalia; Rodentia; Sciuridae.
CUAGGAGUUGAUGGGUCAGAUGGUAAGCCUAGGUUUAAAUUUUUGAGGUACUACCAAACUAUUUUUCAAUUUAGCUGUAUCAUUUUACAUUCCAACCAGCAGU